Molecule: ribosomal RNA, 465 nt
Filed under: Vreelandella stevensii
Lineage: Bacteria; Pseudomonadati; Pseudomonadota; Gammaproteobacteria; Oceanospirillales; Halomonadaceae
Description: partial 16S ribosomal RNA
Rfam family: Bacterial small subunit ribosomal RNA
Source: RNAcentral
CCUACGGGAGGCAGCAGUGGGGAAUAUUGGACAAUGGGCGAAAGCCUGAUCCAGCCAUGCCGCGUGUGUGAAGAAGGCCUUCGGGUUGUAAAGCACUUUCAGUGGGGAAGAAAGCCUUGGGGCUAAUACCCUCGAGGAAGGACAUCACCCACAGAAGAAGCACCGGCUAACUCCGUGCCAGCAGCCGCGGUAAUACGGAGGGUGCGAGCGUUAAUCGGAAUUACUGGGCGUAAAGCGCGCGUAGGCGGUCUGAUAAGCCGGUUGUGAAAGCCCCGGGCUCAACCUGGGAACGGCAUCCGGAACGGUCAGGCUAGAGUGCAGGAGAGGAAGGUAGAAUUCCCGGUGUAGCGGUGAAAUGCGUAGAGAUCGGGAGGAAUACCAGUGGCGAAGGCGGCCUUCUGGACUGACACUGACGCUGAGGUGCGAAAGCGUGGGUAGCAAACAGGAUUAGAUACCCUGGUAGUC